This 440-nucleotide ribosomal RNA is filed under the name uncultured bacterium. RNAcentral describes it as "partial 16S ribosomal RNA". It matches the Rfam family "Bacterial small subunit ribosomal RNA", at positions 338 to 795 of the family's 1533-position model. The record is from RNAcentral.
CCUACGGGGGGCAGCAGUAGGGAAUAUUGCUCAAUGGGGGAAACCCUGAAGCAGCAACGCCGCGUGGAGGAUGAAGGUUUUCGGAUUGUAAACUCCUUUUGUUAGAGAAGAUAAUGACGGUAUCUAACGAAUAAGCACUGGCUAUCUCCGUGCCAGCAGCCGCGGUAAUACGGAGGGUGCAAGCGUUACUCGGAAUCACUGGGCGUAAAGAGCGCGUAGGCGGGAUAGCAAGUCAGAUGUGAAAUCCUAUGGCUUAACCAUAGAACUGCAUUUGAAACUGGUAUUCUAGAGUAUGGGAGAGGUAGGUGGAAUUCUUGGUGUAGGGGUAAAAUGCGUAGAGAUCAAGAGGAAUACUCAUUGCGAAGGCGACCUGCUAGAACAUAACUGACGCUGAUGCGCGAAAGCGUGGGGAGCAAACAGGAUUAGAUACCCUAGUAGUC